This is a non-coding RNA of Paramisgurnus dabryanus, 744 nucleotides long. NCBI's taxonomy places the organism in Eukaryota, Metazoa, Chordata, Actinopteri, Cypriniformes, Cobitidae. The record is from RefSeq and is a predicted model, not a curated record.
GUAAAUGUGUCAGUAUUCAAUUAUUUGAAAGCUAUAAAUAUAAGAAAAUGAAAGAAGAAAACAAUUACUUAUGUAUGUUUCAGAAAAUUCAAAGGCUUUAGAAGAAAUGCACAAAAACAAAAUGAGGAUAAUAUGAAGAAUCAGGACAGACAGAUUCCCGAAAAACCCAAAGUGGAGGAGACUCCUAUGGAAACAAUAUAUCAAAACUCAGAUUAUGGGGAGUUUGAUGAACAACGUAAUGUAAAUGAAGACCAGCUGUACCACCUAAACCAUGACUCAACAACUAUACCUGAAUAAAUGAAGAGUCAAAUCAAUGCUUGCACUGCAGAGGUGGCACAGAAGCUGCAUCUGAAGACUGCGUCAUUGACUGUUUAAUGCAGCACAGAGGGACACAAAUGCAUUUACAAAUUACAAGUGCAUGAAAAUGGUAUGAGUGGACGCAGCUUUUGAACUGGGAUGCAUCUGGGAUGUAACAUUGGUCGGACUACACCUUUACUUGCUGGAAUAAGUAUAUUACAUACUGUUAAAGCUUUUAAAAGUAACUGGACUGACAAGCUACAGAAACAUUUAGUUAAGUUAGUAGUGUCACUACUGAUCAGAUGAUCUCUAACUACUACUGACGAGAGUCCAGUGUAUAAUCUAGUUUUUGUGUGUUUUAUUAGUUUUUGCAAUUCAUCCAUGACUCCCAGCAUAUGCAUUGUAGCAUUAAUAAAUUAUGCAGAUAAACUGAUGUACUAUAUUUUC